CCAUGCAGUCGAGGGGUAACGGGGUGCUUGCACCGCCGACGACCGGCGCACGGGUGCGUAACGCGUAUACAAUCUACCUUGUAGAGGGGAAUAGCCCAGAGAAAUUUGGAUUAAUGCCCCAUAGUAUUAUGAAAUAGCAUUAUUUUAUAAUUAAACAUUUAUGGCUACAAGAUGAGUAUGCGUUCUAUUAGUUAGUAGGUAAGGUAACGGCUUACCUAGACUUCGAUAGAUAGGGGUCCUGAGAGGGAGAUCCCCCACACUGGUACUGAGACACGGACCAGACUCCUACGGGAGGCAGCAGUGAGGAAUAUUGGACAAUGGGCGAGAGCCUGAUCCAGCCAUGCCGCGUGCAGGAAGACGGCCCUAUGGGUUGUAAACUGCUUUUAUAGAGGAAGAAACACUCCUACGUGUAGGAGCUUGACGGUACUCUACGAAUAAGGAUCGGCUAACUCCGUGCCAGCAGCCGCGGUAAUACGGAGGAUCCAAGCGUUAUCCGGAAUCAUUGGGUUUAAAGGGUCCGUAGGCGGGACAAUCAGUCAGCGGUGAAAGUCUGUGGCUCAACCAUAGAAUUGCCAUUGAUACUGUUGUUCUUGAAUACUUAUGAAGUGGUUGGAAUAUGUAGUGUAGCGGUGAAAUGCAUAGAUAUUACAUAGAACACCGAUUGCGAAGGCAGAUCACUAAUAAGUCAUUGACGCUGAUGGACGAAAGCGUAGGUAGCGAACAGGAUUAGAUACCCUGGUAGUCUACGCCGUAAACGAUGGUUACUAGCUGUUUGGUUGCAAGACUGAGUGGCUAAGCGAAAGUGAUAAGUAACCCACCUGGGGAGUACGUUCGCAAGAAUGAAACUCAAAGGAAUUGACGGGGGCCCGCACAAGCGGUGGAGCAUGUGGUUUAAUUCGAUGAUACGCGAGGAACCUUACCAGGGCUUAAAUGUAGAUUGACAGGGGUGGAAACACCUUUUCCUUCGGGCAAUUUACA
RNAcentral lists this ribosomal RNA (978 nucleotides) under uncultured Gillisia sp. Its description in RNAcentral is "bacterial SSU rRNA". It matches the Rfam family "Bacterial small subunit ribosomal RNA", at positions 53 to 1035 of the family's 1533-position model. The record is from RNAcentral. Lineage: Bacteria; Pseudomonadati; Bacteroidota; Flavobacteriia; Flavobacteriales; Flavobacteriaceae.